UUAAAGUUAUGUCAGCUGCAUGUGUGAAAUGCUUGUCACAAGUUGUAAGAAAAGAUAAGGCAAAUUUUGUUUUGACUGCAAUUCUCACCCAGCAGUAAUUCCAAGCGUGUACAUCUGCAGACUGCAAGACGGGGGCGUAACUUGAAGUGGGCGUAACUUGAAGUAGGAGGCGUAACUUGAAGUUGUCCAAAUCACACAGAACCACGCGAGAUCUCAAAACGAUAAGUUGUUGUCAAUAUGGCGGCUUUAAUUAGGGCACAGAAUAUUGAUUACGUUUUAAGGGAGGCAGGGUUUUUAGGUUUUUAUGUGUGUGUAGAUAUUAAUGUUAGGGGACAAUGUGAGAGAUUUGUACGUUUUAGUAGGAAAACGUAUUAUCUGAUCCACACCGGAACAGAAGAGGGUGGUAAUGCACCAACAAGCUGGAUGUCAACCGCCGUUAAACUGGAAAGAAGACGAAUAUGACAGCUUGCUGUGAGAGACAAUGGGACAGAUGAGACACGUGUGUUUAUCUGCUGCAGAGACACUGAUGAAGGAUACUGCCAUUAAAGGAUUUGUAUCUUUUGUGGUGGAGCAGGACCUGCAAGGAAAGGUGAAAAAAAGGGAAAACCUGAAUAAAAAAAGAAUAAUGUAAUGACGUUUUGUAUUGUGUAUGUGUAUUUUUGUAGGACAUGAAAAUGUAGACUGGUGUGUGCACUGAGGAUGGAGAAGACCACAGCAUCAUCCUGGAAAUGAUCAAGAGUCACAGAUGAGACGCUCCAUCACUUGUUGUGGAAAUUCUAAUUCAAUAACAAUUUGUAGAGACUGAGAAUGAAAAACCAAACAGAGUUUUGCUUUAAUUCUCUGCAGAGAAUGA
Molecule: long non-coding RNA, 853 nt
Organism: Carassius auratus (goldfish)
Lineage: Eukaryota; Metazoa; Chordata; Actinopteri; Cypriniformes; Cyprinidae
Exons: 3
Source: RefSeq, a predicted model, not a curated record